Molecule: ribosomal RNA, 253 nt
Filed under: uncultured prokaryote
Description: partial 16S ribosomal RNA
Rfam family: Bacterial small subunit ribosomal RNA
Source: RNAcentral
UACAGAGGUCCCGAGCGUUGUUCGGAUUCACUGGGCGUAAAGGGUGCGUAGGUGGCUUUGCAAGUCUGAUGUGAAAUCUCCGGGCUUAACCCGGAAAUGGCAUUAGAAACUGUGAGGCUUGAGGCUUGGAGGGGGAACUGGAAUUCUCGGUGUAGCAGUGAAAUGCGUAGAGAUCGGGAGGAACACCAGUGGCGAAGGCGAGUUCCUGGACAAGUCCUGACACUGAGGCACGAAAGCCGGGGGAGCAAACAGG